CACAUUCGGCUGAAAACUGCUGAAUCUACAGGCCGGCUUUGCCACUGACCGUUCUGAUAGGUCCCCACUGCUCUCUCUGCUGGCCCCUGAUUGGCUCCCUGUUCCAGCUGACUUGCUGCCCACAGACGCCCUGCUGUUGGCAGCGAUGUCCUGAGAGGAGUUGUGAGAGGAGCUGUUGCCGCUGUCCGUCUCCUCCCAGCCGCCUCCUACCUGCCCUGGACACCGCUUGGUCACUGCUGUGGGGAACACACACAUGGUAGUCUGAGACGCCAUUUAAAGGAAGUUUUAUGAACACAGAAUCUGAAGAAACUCUGACCUUUUGGUCCACAAGCAGGCAGGUUGUAGGCACACGCUGGCACGGCCACCUCUAUGGGUGCAGAAGGCGCCACCACGGCCCGGUAAUGGUUGUCAUGGAGACGGAUGCCCUGGUGCUCAGUCGGGGGGAGGACAGCACUGGCCACUACCUCAGCAGCUUUCUGGAUCUUAUCCAGUAUUGAGUCGCUGCCUACUGGAAGGUACAGAGAUUGCAGAGAAACAAAAUUUACACACAGAACAUUUUGAUUUGUGCGUACGGUGAAGUGUGCGUCGCUCACCUGUCGCCUGUUUCCCUGGACUGUAUCCAAAUCCCUGCAUUCCUGACCUGUGGGAAGAUGCCGAUCCCAUACCUGAGCAGAAAGACACAGAGGAUCUAUUGUACUCAGCGAAAUACGACGACUGAGAAUCUGAUGUACCUGACUGAAAAGACUAAAAGCUCUUCUCAUAUUAGUUCAUUACAUGGUAACUGAAGUCAGGUCUAUCAGUUGGCCAGGUGAUGUAUAGCGGUGCUUUUCAAGGUCCACACCGAACUGGACCUGCUCUACAAUACGUUACAAAGUGUACCGAUUCCUGUUUUGAAAUGCAUUUUGAAAGGCAUGCUAUUUUUAAAAGAAAAAAAACCAUCAAAGUUACAGCAUUUAUCAGAGCCAUAACCUGUAAAAACCGAAAGAAUCAUUGGAUUUUCACAUUUCUGCUGGUUCUUGAACUACUUACCUGUGGCAUGAAAAAAAAAACUCAACCAAAUCUAAGCUUAAAAUCUUGAUAUUCAACAAAAUCAGAUUCAUUUACAUGCCAUAUUUAAAAAUUCACAAUCUUUUUGCGUUAAACAGAUUUAGUAAAAAAAAAAAAUAAAAUUCUGUUCACUAUUUUGAAAUACGCUUUCUAUCGAUCGAGAUUUUUACAGCAAGAUAAAUGUGAUUUUAAUUGUGAUUUAUUUUCUUAAUGUUGACUGCAAAGGUCACACUUUAAUGUCACACCAGAGAAUGAGUGUCUCGUUUUCAAUUUCUGCAAUUUGUGUCAAUGUAAGAAUAUAUUUGAGUCAGAAAUAAAUAAGGACUACAACUGUGUGAGCUGCAUCUGCCUCGGAUUCAUGCUGGUUGAACAACAAGUGGUGUGAUGUUUGUGUUAUAAUCAGAGUUCAGGAGGUCAGACUGACUGCAGGUAAACAGAAUGUAUGUAUCUGGACUGUCUUGAACUAGCCUUGUUAUAACUUGUUAUAAAGUUAGAAGUAAGUUGAUUUUUAUUUUGUUAUCACCAGUUGUUCCAGACCUCUGCCCCUGAUUAAGAAUCAGGCGUGGAAAUACAUUUGAUGAACAGUGUUUUCACAUAGAGAAUACACAGGAACAGGGGGCCAAAAAAGUUGGAUUUGGUUUGGAAUUAUUAAUAUACACAAAUUUAUCAAGCCUUAUAUCUAAUUUUCUGUUCAGAAAUGACACAAGGACCAACUGAUUAGAUUUUGGCAGUGAUGCGGCUUAUAGUCUGGAUCCAUGGAUUUGUUCAAGAUUUCUGCAUCAUUGCGAGAUAGUGGCACGCCGUCACUGUAACUAUGACAACAAGUGAACGCUACAUCAGCUGCCUGCUGAUGAUCACAUGAUUGCGAUCCUGCUACAAAUCCACCACUGCAGACCACAAAUUUUUUAAAGAUUUCAUCUGUCGGAAAUACUGUAUAUAAGCACUGCACUAUCUGAGGGCUUUUCUUGUUUUUGAGGUGGAAUCAAGUAUUAUUGGUGCAGCUUCAGUCCUCAGAUCCUUUGCAUUAUGCCACAUGGAAAGCGUGAGCUACUACAUGUAAUGUGAUUCCCAGUACAGCUACUGUAUGUCCAAUUUCAAUCAUAGCAGAUA
Molecule: long non-coding RNA, 2157 nt
Organism: Amphiprion ocellaris (clown anemonefish)
Lineage: Eukaryota; Metazoa; Chordata; Actinopteri; Pomacentridae
Exons: 2
Source: RefSeq, a predicted model, not a curated record